ACGCUCCUCCGAUCGAUCAAACCUUAUUCCAUGCUAUUUCCAUAAGAUUCUUCUUUCUUAUUCUUAAGAAAGCCCUCGAGAGGGCUUAGUUGAUCAUGAUUUCUGUUUUCUCUUUCUUUUCCUUUUUGUUUGUUUUGAGAAAGAUAUC
Triticum dicoccoides is the source of this 148-nucleotide long non-coding RNA. RefSeq lists it as uncharacterized. The transcript is spliced from 3 exons. The record is from RefSeq and is a predicted model, not a curated record. Lineage: Eukaryota; Viridiplantae; Streptophyta; Magnoliopsida; Poales; Poaceae.